RNAcentral lists this ribosomal RNA (460 nucleotides) under Escharoides angela. Its description in RNAcentral is "partial 16S ribosomal RNA". It matches the Rfam family "Bacterial large subunit ribosomal RNA", at positions 1812 to 2603 of the family's 2925-position model. The record is from RNAcentral. Lineage: Eukaryota; Metazoa; Bryozoa; Gymnolaemata; Cheilostomatida; Romancheinidae.
AACAUAGCUUCUAGAAAUUAUUAGAAGUGAUACCUGCCCGGUGUUACUAAUAAACGGCCGCGAAAGUGCUAAGGUAGCAAAAUAAUUUGUCUUUUUACUGAAGACUAGUAUGAAUGGAUGAACGAAGCCCAACUGUCUCCUUAUAUUAAACAUAACUUUAUGAAUAAGUGAAAAAUCUUAUCAUUUUAUGAGGGACGAGAAGACCCUAUAGAGUUUCAGUAAAAACUUUUACUAACUAAAAGCAAUACUUUUAUUGGGGCAAUAUAAGAACAACCUAAAAAUCUUAAAAUUCAAUAUACCCUCAAAGAGAAAAUAACAAACUACCUUAGGGAUAACAGCGUAAUCUCACCAGAGAGACCUAAUCGAAGGUGAGGUUUGCGACCUCGAUGUUGGACUAAGAACACUCUUUUAUGUAGAAGUAAAAGAAGUAAGCCUGUUCGGCUUUUAAAAUCUUACAUGA